ACCGGGAUCGUCUAACGGCAGGACAUGAGGUUUUGAACCUCAGUAUGUGGGUCCGAAUCCUACUCCCGGUA
This 71-nucleotide transfer RNA is filed under the name bacterium. RNAcentral's name for it is "tRNA-Gln". It matches the Rfam family "tRNA". From Rfam's summary of the family: Transfer RNA (tRNA) molecules are approximately 80 nucleotides in length. Their secondary structure includes four short double-helical elements and three loops (D, anti-codon, and T loops). Further hydrogen bonds mediate the characteristic L-shaped molecular structure. tRNAs have two regions of fundamental functional importance: the anti-codon, which is responsible for specific mRNA codon recognition, and the 3' end, to which the tRNAs corresponding amino acid is attached (by aminoacyl-tRNA synthetases). tRNAs cope with the degeneracy of the genetic code in two manners: having more than one tRNA (with a specific anti-codon) for a particular amino acid; and 'wobble' base-pairing, i.e. permitting non-standard base-pairing at the 3rd anti-codon position. The record is from RNAcentral.